AGAGUUUGAUCCUGGCUCAGAUUGAACGCUGGCGGCAUGCCUUACACAUGCAAGUCGAACGGUAACGCGGGGGCAACCCUGGCGACGAGUGGCGAACGGGUGAGUAAUACAUCGGAACAUAUCCAGUAGCGGGGGAUAACCUAUCGAAAGAUGGACUAAUACCGCAUACGAUCUACGGAUGAAAGCAGGGGACCGCAAGGCCUUGCACUAUUGGAGUGGCCGAUGUCGGAUUAGCUAGUUGGUGAGGUAAAGGCUUACCAAGGCGACGAUCCGUAGCUGGUCUGAGAGGACGAUCAGCCACACUGGAACUGAGACACGGUCCAGACUCCUACGGGAGGCAGCAGUGGGGAAUUUUGGACAAUGGGCGCAAGCCUGAUCCAGCCAUGCCGCGUGAGUGAAGAAGGCCUUCGGGUUGUAAAGCUCUUUCGGUGAAGACGAAACGGUUAGCGCUAAUAACGCUGACUAAUGACGGUACUCACAGAAGAAGCACCGGCUAACUACGUGCCAGCAGCCGCGGUAAUACGUAGGGUGCAGGCGUUAAUCGGAAUUACUGGGCGUAAAGCGUGCGCAGGCGGUUUGCUAAGACAGGUGUGAAAUCCCCGAGCUUAACUUGGGAAUUGCGCUUGUAACUGGCAAGCUAGAGUGUGGCAGAGGGGGGUGGAAUUCCACGUGUAGCAGUGAAAUGCGUAGAUAUGUGGAGGAACACCGAUGGCGAAGGCAGCCCCCCGGGGUUAACACUGACGCUCAUGCACGAAAGCGUGGGGAGCAAACAGGAUUAGAUACCCUGGUAGUCCACGCCCUAAACUAUGUCAACUAGUUGUCGGGGAAGAAAUUCCUUGGUAACGAAGCUAACGCGUGAAGUUGACCGCCUGGGGAGUACGGCCGCAAGGUUAAAACUCAAAGGAAUUGACGGGGACCCGCACAAGCGGUGGAUUAUGUGGAUUAAUUCGAUGCAACGCGAAAAACCUUACCUACCCUUGACAUGCUAGGAAGCCCGCAGAGAUGUGGGUGUGCCCGAAAGGGAACCUAGACACAGGUGCUGCAUGGCUGUCGUCAGCUCGUGUCGUGAGAUGUUGGGUUAAGUCCCGCAACGAGCGCAACCCUUGCCAUUAGUUGCUACAUUCAGUUGGGCACUCUAAUGGGACCGCCGGUGACAAACCGGAGGAAGGUGGGGAUGACGUCAAGUCCUCAUGGCCCUUAUGGGUAGGGCUUCACACGUAAUACAAUGGUCGGUACAGAGGGCUGCCAACCCGCAAGGGGGAGCUAAUCCCAGAAAGCCGAUCGUAGUCCGGAUUGUAGUCUGCAACUCGACUGCAUGAAGCCGGAAUCGCUAGUAAUCGCGGAUCAGCAUGUCGCGGUGAAUACGUUCCCGGGUCUUGUACACACCGCCCGUCACACCAUGGGAGUGGGUUCCACCAGAAGUAGUUAGCCUAACCGCAAGGAGGGCAAUUACCACGGUGAGAUUCAUGACUGGGGUGAAGUCGUAACAAGGUA
RNAcentral lists this ribosomal RNA (1494 nucleotides) under metagenome. Its description in RNAcentral is "bacterial SSU rRNA". It matches the Rfam family "Bacterial small subunit ribosomal RNA". The record is from RNAcentral.